RNAcentral lists this ribosomal RNA (474 nucleotides) under uncultured bacterium. Its description in RNAcentral is "SSU rRNA". It matches the Rfam family "Bacterial small subunit ribosomal RNA", at positions 26 to 518 of the family's 1533-position model. The record is from RNAcentral.
AGGACGAACGCUGGCGGCGUGCUUAACACAUGCAAGUCGAGCGGAAAGGCCCUUCGGGGUACUCGAGCGGCGAACGGGUGAGUAACACGUGAGCAACCUGCCCUUAGCUUCGGGAUAGCUCCGGGAAACCGGAAUUAAUACCGAAUAUGACUUUGGCUGACAUCAGCAGAAGUGGAAAGUUUUUCGGCUAGGGAUGGACUCGCGGCCUAUCAGCUAGUUGGUGAGGUAACGGCCCACCAAGGCGACGACGGGUAGCCGGCCUGAGAGGGCGACCGGCCACACUGGGACUGAGACACGGCCCAGACUCCUACGGGAGGCAGCAGUGGGGAAUAUUGCGCAAUGGGCGAAAGCCUGACGCAGCGACGCCGCGUGGGGGAUGAAUGUCUUCGGGUUGUAAACCCCUUUCAGCAGGGACGAAGCGAAAGUGACGGUACCUGCAGAAGAAGCGCCGGCUAACUACGCGCCAGCAGCCGC